This is a non-coding RNA of Caenorhabditis elegans, 182 nucleotides long. The record is from Ensembl. NCBI's taxonomy places the organism in Eukaryota, Metazoa, Nematoda, Chromadorea, Rhabditida, Rhabditidae.
AGAUGAAAUAAAUGAAAUCAGUGAAACGUGUUCUAAUCCCUACAAUUACCUGGAUUGUUGUGCGUGAGUGUAUCUAUCAAUAGGUUUUCAACAAAACGGACGGGGGGACGCCGCGCCGCCCCGCCGCCGGGAUGUUGUAGGUCUAACCAAACAAUUAGUCAGGUGAGUGACAAAUAUUAGCC